GACGAACGCUGGCGGCGUGCUUAACACAUGCAAGUCGAGCGGUAAGGCCCUUUCGGGGGUACACGAGCGGCGAACGGGUGAGUAACACGUGGGUGACCUGCCCUCAGCUCUGGGAUAAGCCUGGGAAACCGGGUCUAAUACUGGAUAUGACUCCAUGACGCAUGUUGUGGGGUGGAAAGCCUUGUGCGGCUGAGGAUGGGCCCGCGGCCUAUCAGCUUGUUGGUGGGGUGAUGGCCUACCAAGGCGACGACGGGUAGCCGGCCUGAGAGGGCGACCGGCCACACUGGGACUGAGACACGGCCCAGACUCCUACGGGAGGCAGCAGUGGGGAAUCUUGCGCAACGGGCGAAAGCCUGACGCAGCGACGCCGCGUGAGGGAUGACGGCCU
This 388-nucleotide ribosomal RNA is filed under the name uncultured bacterium. RNAcentral's name for it is "bacterial SSU rRNA". It matches the Rfam family "Bacterial small subunit ribosomal RNA", at positions 28 to 417 of the family's 1533-position model. The record is from RNAcentral.